This 504-nucleotide ribosomal RNA is filed under the name uncultured bacterium. Its description in RNAcentral is "bacterial SSU rRNA". It matches the Rfam family "Bacterial small subunit ribosomal RNA", at positions 30 to 526 of the family's 1533-position model. The record is from RNAcentral.
AUUGAACGCUGGCGGCAGGCCUAACACAUGCAAGUCGAGCGGUAGCACAGAGAGCUUGCUCUCGGGUGACGAGCGGCGGACGGGUGAGUAAUGUCUGGGAAACUGCCUGAUGGAGGGGGAUAACUACUGGAAACGGUAGCUAAUACCGCAUAACGUCGCAAGACCAAAGUGGGGGACCUUCGGGCCUCAUGCCAUCAGAUGUGCCCAGAUGGGAUUAGCUAGUAGGUGGGGUAAUGGCUCACCUAGGCGACGAUCCCUAGCUGGUCUGAGAGGAUGACCAGCCACACUGGAACUGAGACACGGUCCAGACUCCUACGGGAGGCAGCAGUGGGGAAUAUUGCACAAUGGGCGCAAGCCUGAUGCAGCCAUGCCGCGUGUAUGAAGAAGGCCUUCGGGUUGUAAAGUACUUUCAGCGGGGAGGAAGGUGAGUGGUUUAAUACGCCACUCAAUUGACGUUACCCGCAGAAGAAGCACCGGCUAACUCCGUGCCAGCCGCCGUAAUAC